AGGGCACAUGAAGGAUGCCUUGGCUCUCGGAGGCGAAGAAGGACGUGACAAGCUGCGAUAAGCCGCGCUCAGGGGCAAAUACCCGUUCAGGCGCGGAUUUCCGAAUGGGGCAACCCACGGCGUGCAGACGCCGUAUCUUGCAAAGCAAGAGGCAAACCCGGGGAACUGAAACAUCUCAGUACCCGGAGGAAAAGAAAACAAAAGUGAUUGCGCCAGUAGUGGCGAGCGAACGCGCAAGAGCCCAAACCGGCCCUGUUACGGCAGAGCCGGGGUUGUAGGACCGCCAACAAAGCGACAACGGAAGGUCAGGGGAACGCCGUGGAAACGGCGGCCGCAGCGGGUGAAAGCCCCGUACCCGAAGACCCGAAGACACGCGAGGCGGCACCUGAGUAGUGCGGAACACGAGAAAUUCUGCAUGAAUCUGCGGGGACCAUCCCGUAAGGCUAAAUACUACCGAGAGACCGAUAGCGAACCAGUACCGUGAGGGAAAGGUGAAAAGAACCUCGAACAGAGGAGUGAAACAGACCCUGAAAUCAUGUGCCUACAAGCGGUCGGAGCCCUUUAGUGGGGUGACGGCGUGCCUUUUGCAUAAUGAACCUACGAGUUGCCCGUCCCGGCAAGGUUAAGGAUAAGGAAAUCCGGAGCCGAAGCGAAAGCGAGUCAGAAUAUGGCGCCACUAGUCAGGGCGGGCAGACGCGAAACCAAGUGAUCUACCCAUGGGCAGGUUGAAGGACAGGUAACACUGUCUGGAGGACCGCACCGGUAAGCGUUGAAAAGCUUUCGGAUGACCUGUGGGUAGGAGUGAAAGGCCAAUCAAACUUGGAGAUAGCUCGUACUCCCCGAAAUGCAUUUAGGUGCAGCCUCGGGCGCAGUACCGUGGAGGUAGAGCGACUGAUAGGAUGCGAGGGCUUCACCGCCUAUCAAGUCCUGACAAACUCCGAAUGCCACGGCACGAUCCCCGGGAGUGAGGGCGCGGGUGCUAAGGUCCGCGUCCGAAAGAGGAACAACUCAGACCACCGGCCAAGGCCCCCAAAUGCGGGCUAAGUUGAAGACCAUAACGAGGUGGGAUUGCCUUGACAGCUAGGAUGUUGGCUUGGAAGCAGCCAUUCAUUUAAAGAGUGCGUAACAGCUCACUAGUCGAGUGAUCCCGCAUGGAUAAUAAUCGGGCAUAAGUCCGCUGCCGAAGCCGUGGAAUCGUCAUUAGAUGAUGAUUGGUAGGGGAGCAUUCCGCAAGCCGUUGAAGGUCGUUCGUAAGGACGGCUGGAGGUACCGGAAAAGCAAAUGUAGGUAUAAGUAACGAUAAGGAGGGCGAGAAACCCUCCCGCCGCAAGACCAAGGGUUCCUGAUCAACGCUAAUCGGAUCAGGGUAAGUCGGGACCUAAGGAGUCAGCCGCAAGGCGCAUCCGAUGGACAAACGGUAAACAUUCCGUUACCCUUAACAACAGCGACGUGGCGACGGAGAAGUGACACAUCCGCGCACUGACGGAAUAGUGCGUUAAAGCGCGUAGGUAAAUCUCGGGCAGGCAAAUCCACCCGAGAUGCUGAAACGCGACAGUACGCCGAGCCCUCCGGGGCGAGGUGACAGCGAUGGUAAUCAGGCUUCCGAGAAAACCCGCUAAGCAUAUGUUGUGAAGGCCCGUACCGUAAACGGACACACGUGGUCGGGUAGAAUAUACUGAGGCGCUCGAGAGAUUCACGGUUAAGGAACUAGGCAAAUUGACCCCGUAACUUCGGAAUAAGGGGUCCCUGCUAUACGGCAGGGCGCAGAGAAUAGGUCCAGGCAACUGUUUAACAAAAACACAGGGCUGUGCGAAAUUUAAAGAUGAAGUAUACAGCCUGACACCUGCCCGGUGCCGGAAGGUUAAGAGGAGAUGUCAUCGCAAGAGAAGCAUUGAAUUGAAGCCCCGGUAAACGGCGGCCGUAACUAUAACGGUCCUAAGGUAGCGAAAUUCCUUGUCAGGUAAGUUCUGACCCGCACGAAAGGCGUAACGAUUUGGGCGCUGUCUCAGCUGUAGACUCGGUGAAGUCUUAGUACCUGUGAAGAUGCAGGUUACCCGCGACUAGACGGAAAGACCCCAUGGAGCUUCACUGCAGGUUGAUAUUGGGAUUUGAUGCAGCAUGUACAGGAUAGGUAGGAGGCAAAGAGAUGGAUACGCCAGUAUUCAAGGAGCCGCUGUUGGGAUACUACCCCUGUUGUAUUGGAUUUCUAACCGGACGACGUAGAGCCGUUGACGGGACAGUGUCAGUCGGGCAGUUUGACUGGGGCGGUCGCCUCCCAAAGAGUAACGGAGGCGCCCAAAGGUUCCCUCAGAAUGGUUGGAAAUCAUUCAUAGAGUGUAAAGGCAGAAGGGAGCUUGACUGCGAGACGGACAGGUCGAGCAGGAACGAAAGUUGGGCUUAGUGAACCGGCUGUGCUGAAUGGAAAGGCAGUCGAUCAACGGACAAAAGCUACCCUGGGGAUAACAGGCUGAUCUCCCCCAAGAGUUCACAUCGACGGGGAGGUUUGGCACCUCGAUGUCGGCUCAUCGCAUCCUGGAGCUGUAGCAGGUUCCAAGGGUUGGGCUGUUCGCCCAUUAAAGCGGUACGCGAGCUGGGUUCAGAACGU
RNAcentral lists this ribosomal RNA (2605 nucleotides) under human gut metagenome. RNAcentral's name for it is "bacterial LSU rRNA". It matches the Rfam family "Bacterial large subunit ribosomal RNA", at positions 14 to 2619 of the family's 2925-position model. The record is from RNAcentral.